CUUUUCCAAAAUGGUUUUACUAUUUUACAGCCCAACCAACAAUAUAUGAGAGUCAGUUUACUCUACAUCCUUGCUGAGGACCUCCGGAAAAAUGUGCAAUAGAAGUGACUUUACAAUUGUCAUCUGCAGAAGAGUUCAUGUGAGAAGAGUUGUUGGAUAUUAUUACUAUCCGGAAAGGGAAGGUCUCAGAGAAAACCCGGCUGCACCACUGCAAAUUUUCUCUACAGAUGCAAGUCUCCACAAUGAAAAACAGCUCAGCUACUUCUGUUACGUGCCCUCUGAACAGCCAUCUCAAAACAUGUCAAAGUAGUGUAUUUGGGGGAAAACUAUUUCCUUCACUCUCCAUUUUGAACUUUAAAAGUCUUCACAAAUUAAAAACCAAGUCAAUUUCUUUGGAGAGAUUUGGGUUAGAGAUUGUUAGAUAAGAGAUAGGCAAAGGAAGGAAAAUAUAAACUGGGAUAAGCAGAAAAGAACAAAUUUAAAUAUAUCAUCUCGUAUCUUCUUGAAUCAGUCUCAGUCCUGAAAAUAGAUCAGGUCAGUUAAACAGCUGUGCUCCAUUCCAGAAGGUGGCACUGCAGAUGAGUUAGGCCUCUAUAUAUGAAACAGGCAAAUAGAACUUUGAAGGCACCAAGCCAAUCAUGAGGAAUCCGUCCCCAUGACACAAACACCUCCCACCAGGCCCCACCUCCAACAUUAGGAAUCACAUUUUAGUACGAGAUUUGGAGGAAACAAAUACCCAAACCAUAUCAACAGUUUAUGUUCUUAGCCAUAGAGGCACUUUACAGAAAGCAUAAGGACUUGGAUUGUCCCAAAACAGGUUAUGGGAACAGGAAAAGGAGGCCUGACUGGCAAAAGGGGACUUGUUAUGUAAAUGAAGCCUCACGGUCUCACAGAAAACCGUAAGAAGUGCCAAUAAGAGACAUUUCCAUGGAAAUAGAAGAAAAACAGAGGUUAAUGUCUGGUGUAAUCUAUAGAUUAGUUUUUUUUUUUAAAUCUCUGGAGCAUCUUUAGAUUGCAGUAGCAAUCUGACAAAUUUUCCUAGAUUAGAGUUUGAAUUAGAUAUUCAAGCAAGCCUUCUGAGUAGUCUAUACAUCAGCUGGCACAAAAGCUGUUUACAUGUAAGUUGCUGUGGUGAUUUCCCCCAGCGUUUAUAUCAAGUUGUCUAGUUUCAGUUAGCAGGACUUCAAGAAAAGCACAGCUUUAAUGUCCAGUGAUUCCAACUAUGAAAAAUGGGAGAAAAUUUUGAAAAUAUUAGUUUGGAGAUUUUAGCUGGGAAAGAAUUCAGGAUACAGUCCAAAUUGUAGGCAAAUAAUAAAAAGCCAAAAACAAUGGUCAGGGCUAGAAUCUAAUAACAGGUGUGCCACAGUUUUCUACUGAAACAUAAUUUUUUUUCUCUCUAGUCUCCAAUUUUUACCAAAGAUUAAUCAUAAUAGGACCAAUUUAUUUUCAAAAUAAGUUUUAGUCUUCUUAUAUUAGGCUUAUUACUGGCAUAAAGUACAGCAAGACUAGUGAUCGGCCACACAGGCUCUUUUUAAGUUGGCUUCGCUGGAAAUUUUUAUAAUGAAUUUCAGAUUAGACUCUAUAGGGACUCUCAAGGCUAGGAAGUCAAGUCAAGGAUUUGCCAUUGGAUUGUGCCUGCAAUAUCUGUCCAAAUUGGAUGCACUGCUCUGUUCUCAAGGUCCCCAAAAUAUCCUGAGGUUCCUAAACCUGUCAAAAAGUGACCUCCUUUACUUACUUCAAGGUCAGGAACCUUGUAAGAGAACCAUGUAGACAAAGUACCAGGCCAGUCUUUCUUUGGGGCUUUUUAUAGGCUCUAUAAAGUCAAGUUCAAGUCCUCAAAGCAGCCUAGUCAUGAAAAUAUGCUAGUCCAGUCAAAGUCUUGGUGAAAUAACUAGUGUCUCAAAUUUUAUCCUGUUACAAAAGAAAACAGAUUCUUAUUGAAUUUAUGCAAAUAACUAUAUUGUCAUAAAUCAAAAGCACUCACAAAUAGUUUCCAAAUUCUGAAGAAAUCAAGUAGAGAGAAAGGUAAAUCUUUCCAUUUUGUAAGCUAUACAAAAGUAUACAUUAAUCAAUUAUUGUAAGCUACAAAUAGCUCAAAAAAGUUUUCUUGACUCUGAAAACAAAACAAA
Molecule: long non-coding RNA, 2129 nt
Filed under: Homo sapiens (human)
Lineage: Eukaryota; Metazoa; Chordata; Mammalia; Primates; Hominidae
Description: HSALNT0190361
Source: RNAcentral